ACACCUCAACUCUUCAUGGUUUUCCAUGAUGAGCUUGGACUUUGGGGGACUUGCUGGCCUACAGUCAGCUCCUCUAAAAUAAAUCAGCUCGCCAGUGUUUGGUGGGUAUCGCAGGUGUGAUAACUAUCUACGCUUGUGGUUUUCCACCAAGUAACCUUCAGCAGUGGAGGUUCACUGGAGCUCACAGACGUCUCUCCUCAGUGAGGGACAGCCCUUUGAAU
RNAcentral lists this unclassified non-coding RNA (221 nucleotides) under uncultured Tomentella. Its description in RNAcentral is "sequence contains ITS2". The record is from RNAcentral. Lineage: Eukaryota; Fungi; Basidiomycota; Agaricomycetes; Thelephorales; Thelephoraceae.